GCCUUCUUAGUUCAGCGGUAGAACGUAGCACUCGUAGUGCUUGGCCGAUGCUAAGGUCAGUCGUUCAAUCCGGCUUUAAGGCA
Mycena galericulata is the source of this 83-nucleotide non-coding RNA. The record is from the annotation of a GenBank genome assembly. NCBI's taxonomy places the organism in Eukaryota, Fungi, Basidiomycota, Agaricomycetes, Agaricales, Mycenaceae.